Molecule: ribosomal RNA, 253 nt
Filed under: uncultured bacterium
Lineage: Bacteria
Description: partial 16S ribosomal RNA
Rfam family: Bacterial small subunit ribosomal RNA
Source: RNAcentral
UACAGAGGGUGCAAGCGUUAAUCGGAAUUACUGGGCGUAAAGCGUGCGCAGGCGGUUCGUUGUGUCGGCGGUGAAAGCCCCGGGCUUAACCUGGGAACGGCCGUUGAAACUGGCGAACUGGAGUGUGGCAGAGGGGGGUGGAAUUCCGCGUGUAGCAGUGAAAUGCGUAGAGAUGCGGAGGAACACCGAUGGCGAAGGCAGCCCCCUGGGCUAACACUGACGCUCAGGCACGAAAGCGUGGGGAGCAAACAGG